AUUGAACGCUGGCGGCAGGCUUAACACAUGCAAGUCGAACGAGCGGCGGACGGGUGAGUAAUGUAUGGGAAACUGCCUGAUGGAGGGGGAUAACUACUGUAAACGUUAGCUAAUACCGCAUACCAUCAGAUGUGCCCAGAUGGGAUUAGCUCGUGGGUGGGGUAAUGGCUCACCUAGGCGACGAUCCCUAGCUGGUCUGAGAGGAUGACCAGCCACACUGGAACUGAGACACGGUCCAGACUCCUACGGGAGGCAGCAGUGGGGAAUAUUGCACAAUGGGCGCAAGCCUGAUGCAGCAAUGCCGCGUGUGUGAAGAAGGCCUUCGGGUUGUAAAGCACUUUCAGUGAGGAGGCGUUACUCGCAGAAGAAGCACCGGCUAACUCCGUGCCAGCAGCCGCGGUAAUAC
RNAcentral lists this ribosomal RNA (406 nucleotides) under uncultured bacterium. RNAcentral describes it as "partial 16S ribosomal RNA". It matches the Rfam family "Bacterial small subunit ribosomal RNA", at positions 30 to 526 of the family's 1533-position model. The record is from RNAcentral.